AUUAGGGACGUCAGGGUGUGGAAAAAUGAGAUUAAUAACCUAACCUAAUUUCCCUACUGGGAACUUUCGCUGGUAGGGGUACUCUUAGGAGUAUAACUUUACAGAAAGAUAAAAUUUGCCCUCGAUGUCUUUAAUUUUAUU
RNAcentral lists this non-coding RNA (141 nucleotides) under Mycetomoellerius zeteki. Lineage: Eukaryota; Metazoa; Arthropoda; Insecta; Hymenoptera; Formicidae. The record is from RNAcentral.